This 1023-nucleotide ribosomal RNA is filed under the name Acinetobacter lwoffii. RNAcentral describes it as "bacterial SSU rRNA". It matches the Rfam family "Bacterial small subunit ribosomal RNA", at positions 55 to 1070 of the family's 1533-position model. The record is from RNAcentral. Lineage: Bacteria; Pseudomonadati; Pseudomonadota; Gammaproteobacteria; Moraxellales; Moraxellaceae.
AUGCAGUCGAGCGGGGAAGAGUAGCUUGCUACUUGACCUAGCGGCGGACGGGUGAGUAAUGCUUAGGAAUCUGCCUAUUAGUGGGGGACAACAUCUCGAAAGGGAUGCUAAUACCGCAUACGUCCUACGGGAGAAAGCAGGGGACCUUCGGGCCUUGCGCUAAUAGAUGAGCCUAAGUCGGAUUAGCUAGUUGGUGGGGUAAAGGCCUACCAAGGCGACGAUCUGUAGCGGGUCUGAGAGGAUGAUCCGCCACACUGGGACUGAGACACGGCCCAGACUCCUACGGGAGGCAGCAGUGGGGAAUAUUGGACAAUGGGGGGAACCCUGAUCCAGCCAUGCCGCGUGUGUGAAGAAGGCCUUUUGGGUUGUAAAGCACUUUAAGCGAAGGAGGAGGCUACCGAGAUUAAUACUCUUGGAUAGUGGACGUUACUCGCAGAAUAAGCACCGGCUAACUCUGUGCCAGCAGCCGCGGUAAUACAGAGGGUGCAAGCGUUAAUCGGAUUUACUGGGCGUAAAGCGCGCGUAGGUGGCCAAUUAAGUCAAAUGUGAAAUCCCCGAGCUUAACUUGGGAAUUGCAUUCGAUACUGGUUGGCUAGAGUAUGGGAGAGGAUGGUAGAAUUCCAGGUGUAGCGGUGAAAUGCGUAGAGAUCUGGAGGAAUACCGAUGGCGAAGGCAGCCAUCUGGCCUAAUACUGACACUGAGGUGCGAAAGCAUGGGGAGCAAACAGGAUUAGAUACCCUGGUAGUCCAUGCCGUAAACGAUGUCUACUAGCCGUUGGGGCCUUUGAGGCUUUAGUGGCGCAGCUAACGCGAUAAGUAGACCGCCUGGGGAGUACGGUCGCAAGACUAAAACUCAAAUGAAUUGACGGGGGCCCGCACAAGCGGUGGAGCAUGUGGUUUAAUUCGAUGCAACGCGAAGAACCUUACCUGGUCUUGACAUAGUAAGAACUUUCCAGGAGAUGGAUUGGUGCCUUCGGGAACUUACAUACAGGUGCUGCAUGGCUGUCGUCAGCUCGUGUCGUGA